ACUUUGCAGCCCGACUUGAGUGGAGCUCUUUUUCUAUGAAACAAAGCGGAAUAGAAAAAAGCGGGAACGGAAGGCGGAAAUGUCU
RNAcentral lists this unclassified non-coding RNA (85 nucleotides) under Halpernia frigidisoli. RNAcentral describes it as "Chryseobacterium frigidisoli Flavo-1 RNA". The record is from RNAcentral. Lineage: Bacteria; Pseudomonadati; Bacteroidota; Flavobacteriia; Flavobacteriales; Weeksellaceae.